UUGUGGCCCAGCUUCCUGACAGAUUUCUUCUUGUUUGCUUUGAUGUUUUACCUUCCUUCUGUAUCGUCUGUUUUCUUUUUCUCGGCACUGAUUCAGGAUCCUUGCAGCCAGCUGUAGCUUCUCCUGGAAGAACCCCAGUUACAUGCACAGAGAAUGAGUGGCCAAUUUGAGCCCCUUAAUAUAAUUUGGCCCCUAAGUUUCAAGGGGAUCUAUUCACCAGAUUACACCGUCUCUUCUCGGAAGUUGGGUGAUGAAGUCUGGAAAGCCGUGAACAUGUUAUGUCGGACAGGAGGAAUUGUCACACGUUUGCCUGCUCGUGGCAGCAGAGUGAUGAACCGUACAACUGCUUCAACGCAUAGUCGUGCGGCGUUCCGAGGGCGACUCCACCCCUCCAGAGCAGCCGUUCUCAGGCUACUGCAGAGCAGAGCCCUCUCCAUCACCACAGCUGUCUGUCACACCCACGGCCUGAGCUGGGGCCCUCGCCAGGACUGGGGCAGGCAGAGACGAUUGCGCCUUUCAGAAGCAUUCUGCUGCGCUGUGCUAAGCCACAGAGCAUUUCAGCGGGCGCGGGGCAGAGUCCUGGUACUGGGGCUCCGUGAAAGCGAUGGUGAGUAUUUUUUUCAGGAGACUUAUUGCAAAAACCACCAAACCCCCCAGUCUGCCUUGGGUGCUUUAAAUUGGCCCCCUUCCUUCCCCCUCCCCCCAGAUUUGCUUUUCUGCAAUGUAUGCUUGUAGGGGCAUCGAAAACAGCCAUGUGGGCUGGAGUGGCAGCCCAGUUUCGGAGCUCUCCCAUAAAGGUGUGCUCAGCCCUGCCUGCCAUUGUCAUUCUCCAGGAGGCAUGCUGUUGAUUUACAGUUCUGCACCACAGCUACAAAGGGGCCCUGGCCCAAAUGGCAGAGGAGAGGCCUCGGAGGAGUGUGAUAAUGGAAGAUUUAUGUUUCCUCCAUAUAUUUUUGAGACGUGGUAUUAAUGUCCAGUCGGUUGGAAUCCCGACUGCACCCCCAUGUCAGGAAGG
Caretta caretta (loggerhead turtle) is the source of this 1015-nucleotide non-coding RNA. Lineage: Eukaryota; Metazoa; Chordata; Testudines; Cheloniidae. The record is from RefSeq and is a predicted model, not a curated record.